UACGGAGGGUGCGAGCGUUAUUCGGAAUUACUGGGCGUAAAGGGCGCGUAGGCGGCUGGGCUUGUCCUAUGUGAAAGCCCGGGGCUCAACCCCGGAAGUGCAUUGGAAACGGUCCGGCUUGAGUGUCGGAGAGGGUGGGGGAAUUCCCGGUGUAGAGGUGAAAUUCGUAGAGAUCGGGAGGAAUACCAGUGGCGAAGGCGCCCACCUGGACGAUGACUGACGCUGAGGCGCGAGAGCGUGGGGAUGAAACAGGAUUAGAUACCCUGGUAGUCCACGCUGUAAACGAUGAGCACUGGGUGUAGCGGGGUUUUAAACCUGCUGUGCCGUAGCUAACGCGUUAAGUGCUCCGCCUGGGGAGUACGGUCGCAAGACUAAA
This 376-nucleotide ribosomal RNA is filed under the name uncultured bacterium. RNAcentral describes it as "bacterial SSU rRNA". It matches the Rfam family "Bacterial small subunit ribosomal RNA", at positions 524 to 898 of the family's 1533-position model. The record is from RNAcentral.